This 521-nucleotide long non-coding RNA is filed under the name Pongo abelii (Sumatran orangutan). RNAcentral describes it as "lincRNA". The record is from RNAcentral. Lineage: Eukaryota; Metazoa; Chordata; Mammalia; Primates; Hominidae.
AGUGGCUGUUUGAACGUAGCCCACCUUUUCUGAUGAUUAAGGUUCUCCGGCCCUUCACGGGGAUUAUGUCGUGAACCCUCUCACAGCAGCUAUGAGAGACUGCGGCGCUCCCCAGAUGAGGAAACCUGGUCCCCCAGCGCCAGAUGGAGUCUCGCUCUGUCGUCCCGGCUGGAGUGCAGUGGCGCGAUCUCGGCUCACUGCAAGCUCCGCCUCCCGGGUUCAAUCGAUUCUGCUGCCUCAGCCUCUGGAGUAGCUGGGACUGCGGCUCUGGGACAAACCAGCUUCUAUGUCAUGAGUACACUCAGGCAGCUCACUGGAGAGAUCUGCAUGGUAAAGCAAUGAGCCUCCUGCCAGUAGCCAUGUGGGGGGCAUCUUGGAGCCAGACCCUCCAGCCCCAGUCAAGCCUUCAGAUGCCUGCAGCCCUGACUGACAUUUCAACCACAAUUUUAUGAGAGAUUCUGAGCCAGAAUCACCCAGCUAAGCUGCUCCCAGGUUGCUGGCCUCCCAGCGUUUCUGCGUCU